GGAUGGAUCAUUCCUGUUUUUAAACACUCCAACUUUGAAGCUGUCUCUGAUAGUAACCUUAAUAAUUAAAUAUUGUUUCGAAUUAAAAACUCUUAGCGAUGGAUGACUCGACUCUCGUAACGAGGAAGGACGCAGCAAACCGCGAUAAGCAGUAUGACUUGCGAAUUCUCGUGAAUCACCAGAUUUCUGAACGCUAUUGUACUCCUGGCUUUAGUCUCGAGUAUACUUGGCUCGGUAUCGUAUAGAUUUCCUUAUUUUACUGACUUUGUUAUCAUAGUUAAGUAAGAGAAAGGGUUAAGAGCUCUCAUUGUAAGAUGUUAGCUGUCUAAUUGAUCUCUCCGAUGAAUUGAUUUCACAUACAGUGACGUAAAGUGAAUGUUAAUUUGUUAGGAAGGAUGAAUUCUGAUUUCUAUGAUUAGAGCGCAAAUAGGGUGGUAACCUCCAUCCACGGCUAAAUAUUGACGAGAGAUCGAUAGCAAACAAGUACCGUGAGGGAAAGUUGAAAAGGACUUCGAAAGGAGAGUUAAAAUACCUGAAAUCGCCAAGGGGGAAGCGACUGUCCGUGACCCAAGUGAAGUUGGUUGCAAAGGUUUCGAUCUUUGAUGACUGAUCAACAACUCGACAUCACUUCUCAACUGUUUGACACUUUUUGAACUUGUUUCUGUAAAGCUGUUCUUUCAGUGCAGGAGUGACGCGAACCGGCUUGCCGUAAGUUGUCGAGAGUGGCACGUAUAGACGACCCGUCUUGAAACACGGACCAAGGAGUUAAACAGGUGUGCAAGUGUAAGAGUGUUAAACUCAUACGCGCAGUGAAAGCGAAAGCUGUGAAUAUCAAUGCAACAGCGGCCGACUCUUGAAGUUCGAGCUUGAGCAUAUUUGUUUAGACCCGAAAGAUGGUGACCUAUACCUGAGUUGGGUGAAGCCAGGGGAAACCCUGGUGGAAGCUCGUAGCGAUACUGACGUGCAAAUCGUUCGUCAAACUUGGGCAUAGGGGCGAAAGACUAAUCGAACCAUCUAGUAGCUGGUUCCCUC
RNAcentral lists this unclassified non-coding RNA (1032 nucleotides) under uncultured fungus. Its description in RNAcentral is "sequence contains 18S rRNA gene, ITS1, 5.8S rRNA gene, ITS2, 28S rRNA gene". The stretch from base 233 to 1032 matches the Rfam family "Eukaryotic large subunit ribosomal RNA", at positions 1 to 961 of the family's 3401-position model. Lineage: Eukaryota; Fungi. The record is from RNAcentral.